UGGGAUAACUCCGGAAACCGGAGCUAAUACCGGAUAGUUCCUUGAACCGCAUGGUUCAAGGAUGAAAGACGGUUUCGGCUGUCACUUACAGAUGGACCCGCGGCGCAUUAGCUAGUUGGUGGGGUAAUGGCUCACCAAGGCACGAUGCGUAGCCGACCUGAGAGGGUGAUCGGCCACACUGGGACUGAGACACGGCCCAGACUCCUACGGGAGGCAGCAGUAGGGAAUCUUCCGCAAUGGACGAAAGUCUGACGGAGCAACGCCGCGUAGUGAUGAAGGUUUUCGGAUCGUAAAGCUCUGUUGUUAGGGAAGAACAAGUGCGAGAGUAACUGCUCGCACCUUGACGGUACCUAACCAGAAAGCCACGGCUAACUACGUGCCAGCAGCCGCGGUAAACGUAGGUGGCAAGCGUUGUCCGGAAUUAUUGGGCGUAAAGGGCUCGCAGGCGGUUUCUUAAGUCUGAUGUGAAAGCCCCCGGCUCAACCGGGGAGGGUCAUUGGAAACUGGGAAACUUGAGUGCAGAGAGGAGAGUGGAAUUCCACGUGUAGCGGUGAAAUGCGUAGAGAUGUGGAGGAACACCAGUGGCGAAGGCGACUCUCUGGUCUGUAACUGACGCUGAGGAGCGAAAGCGUGGGGAGCGAACAGGAUUGAUACCCUGGUAGUCCACGCCGUAAACGAUGAGUGCUAAGUGUUAGGGGGUUCCGCCCCUUAGUGCUGCAGCUAACGCAUUAAGCACUCCGCCUGGGGAGUACGGUCGCAAGACUGAAACUCAAAGGAAUUGACGGGGGCCCGCACAACGGUGGAGCAUGUGGUUUAAUUCGAAGCAACGCGAAGAACCUUACCAGGUCUUGACAUCCUCUGACAACCCUAGAGAUAGGGCUUUCCCUUCGGGGACAGAGUGACAGGUGGUGCAUGGUUGUCGUC
Molecule: ribosomal RNA, 924 nt
Filed under: Bacillus zhangzhouensis
Lineage: Bacteria; Bacillati; Bacillota; Bacilli; Caryophanales; Bacillaceae
Description: bacterial SSU rRNA
Rfam family: Bacterial small subunit ribosomal RNA
Source: RNAcentral